This 402-nucleotide ribosomal RNA is filed under the name uncultured bacterium. RNAcentral describes it as "bacterial SSU rRNA". It matches the Rfam family "Bacterial small subunit ribosomal RNA", at positions 355 to 774 of the family's 1533-position model. The record is from RNAcentral.
UAGGGAAUUGUCGGCAAUGGGCGAAAGCCUGACCGCGCGACGCCGCGUGGAGGAAGAAGGCCUUCGGGUUGUAAACUUCUUUUAUGAGGGACGAUUAUGACGGUACCUCAAGAAUAAGGGGCUGCUAACUACGUGCCAGCAGCAGCGGUAAUACGUAGGCCCCGAGCGUUAUCCGGAAUUAUUGGGCGUAAAGAGCGUGUAGGUGGCGCUACAAGUCGGUCGUUAAAUCUCACCGCCCAACGGUGAGGCCGCGAGCGAUACUGUAGUGCUUGAGUCUUACAGGGGUGAGCAGAAUUCUUGGAGUAGGGGUGAAAUCCGUUGAUACCAAGAGGAAUACCAAUGGCGAAGGCAGCUCACUGGGUAAGUACUGACACUGAGACGCGAAAGCGUGGGGAGCGAACG